CGAAGAUAAACGUCUAUCUGCUACUGCGUA
Molecule: small RNA, 30 nt
Filed under: Bombyx mori (domestic silkworm)
Lineage: Eukaryota; Metazoa; Arthropoda; Insecta; Lepidoptera; Bombycidae
Description: ovarian small RNA-14128
Source: RNAcentral